CCUACGGGGGGCAGCAGUGGGGAAUAUUGGACAAUGGGCGAAAGCCUGAUCCAGCCAUGCCGCGUGUGUGAAGAAGGCCUUCGGGUUGUAAAGCACUUUCAGUGGGGAAGAAAGCCUUGGGGCUAAUACCCUCGAGGAAGGACAUCACCCACAGAAGAAGCACCGGCUAACUCCGUGCCAGCAGCCGCGGUAAUACGGAGGGUGCGAGCGUUAAUCGGAAUUACUGGGCGUAAAGCGCGCGUAGGCGGUCUGAUAAGUCGGUUGUGAAAGCCCCGGGCUCAACCUGGGAACGGCAUCCGGAACUGUCAGGCUAGAGUGCAGGAGAGGAAGGUAGAAUUCCCGGUGUAGCGGUGAAAUGCGUAGAGAUCGGGAGGAAUACCAGUGGCGAAGGCGGCCUUCUGGACUGACACUGACGCUGAGGUGCGAAAGCGUGGGUAGCAAACAGGAUUAGAUACCCUAGUAGUC
This 465-nucleotide ribosomal RNA is filed under the name Vreelandella stevensii. RNAcentral describes it as "partial 16S ribosomal RNA". It matches the Rfam family "Bacterial small subunit ribosomal RNA", at positions 338 to 795 of the family's 1533-position model. Lineage: Bacteria; Pseudomonadati; Pseudomonadota; Gammaproteobacteria; Oceanospirillales; Halomonadaceae. The record is from RNAcentral.